UUUACUUAUUUGUUUUGUACUGAGACGACACGCUUAUACAAGAAUUUUGGUUGUGGGCCACCGGCGGAUGCGGGCCAAGGGGCCUAGACCCCUCGGCGGUCCCCGGGGGGACGGAUCCGCCGAAGCAACAAAUGGUAAGGUAGACAAAGGGUAGGAGGUCGAGCCCAGAAGACCCUAACUCGGUAAUGAUCCUUCCGCAGGUUCACCUACGGAAA
RNAcentral lists this unclassified non-coding RNA (215 nucleotides) under uncultured fungus. RNAcentral describes it as "sequence contains ITS1". Lineage: Eukaryota; Fungi. The record is from RNAcentral.